RNAcentral lists this unclassified non-coding RNA (319 nucleotides) under uncultured Eurotiomycetes. Its description in RNAcentral is "sequence contains ITS1". The stretch from base 1 to 105 matches the Rfam family "5.8S ribosomal RNA", at positions 50 to 154 of the family's 154-position model. Lineage: Eukaryota; Fungi; Ascomycota; Eurotiomycetes. The record is from RNAcentral.
GAAAUGCGAUAAGUAAUGUGAAUUGCAGAAUUCCGUGAAUCAUCGAAUCUUUGAACGCACAUUGCGCCCUCUGGUAUUCCGGGGGGCAUGCCUGUCCGAGCGUCAUUGCGUACCCCUCAAGCACGGCUUGUGUGAUGGGCUGCGGCGUCCCUGACCUUAGGGGGACGAGCCCGAAAUGCAGUGGCGGCGUCGCGGUGAUCCGAUCAGCCCGAGCGUAUGGGGACUUCGUCACACGCUCGCGGCGCGGACCGACGCCUGUCUCAACGGUGAAUCUAUCUCGGUUGACCUCGGAUCAGGUAGGGAUACCCGCUGAACUUAA